CAUUAAGAAGCUAAACGAAGCAUUAACCUUUUAAGUUAAAGACUGAGAGUUUAAUCUCUCCUUAAUGA
RNAcentral lists this transfer RNA (68 nucleotides) under Suricata suricatta (meerkat). RNAcentral's name for it is "tRNA-Lys". It matches the Rfam family "tRNA". From Rfam's summary of the family: Transfer RNA (tRNA) molecules are approximately 80 nucleotides in length. Lineage: Eukaryota; Metazoa; Chordata; Mammalia; Carnivora; Herpestidae. The record is from RNAcentral.